CUUUCAUUCAUUUACCUAUCAUUUGCUGAGUGUAUAUAGUGCAUGACAGGCCACAGGCCAGCCAGACGAGGUGGCCAAACAAAGAAAUAAUAAGACAUCGUCCGAGCCUCAAGGAUGUCACACCUAGCAGAAAUGUCCAUGUAUAAAAAUAAUCCUGGUACACUGUAACAGUGCGAGAGAACCUAGUAAUAUGAGAGCAUAGAGGGUAGUCAGAGAAAGCUUCACAGAAGACAAAACAUUUGGAGUGGGUCUGGAAGGAUGAGUAAGAGUUUACUAUUUGGGGUUAACUCCCGAAGUGGAAAACACCACCAUAUUGGAAGCCUUGGGGUACUCUCAAAGUCAGCAAAUUUAUAGCCUCAUGCAAGAUCUGAGUAGUAACAGCCAUUUUGCAUCUUGUUUUUUAUGGCUAAUAAGAGAAAAAGCAAAAACAGGGACCUAUAGGAGAUGGGAGAUGUGCCCUGGUGAUGCGGACAGGCCUGUCCCUUCCAUGGGAGGUAUCUUUGGAAAUCCCCCAUCUCCACGGUAAUACGAGCUGCCAGCCGGCAGAGGGUGAAUUAGCACUGGCACCAUCAGAUACAAGCUGGACACAGCUGAGUGCAGACAGGACACCACAUCAUCUGGGACAAGAGAGCAGACUGCUAUGACAGGUUGGUCUCAGGCCGACAGGACCCAGCCUGGGCCUGACCCACUGGUUAAGCACUGGGAGGCACAGAUGUAUGAGGACUUGCCAUCUAGGAGUCAGAGAAUCAGCACAUAUCUUGUCAUGUCAUAGCUGAAGAGCUGCCACCUAGACCUGUUCCUGCUGCUUCACUCUGGUUUUCCCAUGGCCCAUAUGGAAGGGAACCAGGGUUGGGCUACCACCAUUUUGUGCUCCCAGAUUGGAGGAUGGGUGAGGCCUCUCCAUCCCAGCUUCCCUGGAUAACUUAAUUUAAGCUUAUGACACAUAUUCUCUGAAAGGCAAACCCAUGAGGUGUAUUCACAAAGAGGACAUCAAAUCCCACUUGGAGUCUUGUGUCAUUAAACCAUUACAGUCAGCCCUCCAUAUCCCUAGGUUCUGCAUCCAUGGAUUCAACCACCCAUGAAUAAAAAAUAUCCAGAAAAAAAAAGUUGAUGGUAGUGUCUGUGCUGAACAUGUUCAGACCUUUUUUGGUCAUUUUUCCCUAAACAAUACAGUAUAACAACUAUUUACAUAGCAUGUAGAUUGUAUUAGGUAUAUAUAAGUAAUCUAGAGGUGAUUUAAAGUAUAAAGGAGGAUGUGCAUAGGUUAUAUGCAAAUAGUAUGCCAUUUUAUAUAAGUUAUUUGAGCAUUUCCUCUAUGGGUUUUGGUAUCCAUGGAGGUCCUGGAACCAAUCCCCCACAGAUACCAAGGGACAAGUGUAUUUAGCAUUUUCAUACACCCUGUUUCAUCUGCAUAAGACCCUGACGAUUUCAAGAUACGCUAUCUUUUUACAUACCACUAAGAAAAACCAGCCAACUAGACUAUGGCAUGCCAUCUGCAGUAAGAUGGAUUCUGAUUUCAGAACUGUUAAAGGAUUUUUUGAAAAGUACUUUCUAGAAUCAACAAAAUCCAAAGGCUUUCUUCUCCAACUAGACUGUGAGUUCCUAGAGGGCAGAGAACAUACUUAUAAUUUUCUGUACUUUGCAGUGCCUAGCACAGUGUCAUACACAUAGAAAAUACACUGUAAAACACUCUAAUGAAUGAAAGAAAAGUGAAUAGUUAAUAUAA
This 1726-nucleotide long non-coding RNA is filed under the name Homo sapiens (human). Its description in RNAcentral is "HSALNT0009848". Lineage: Eukaryota; Metazoa; Chordata; Mammalia; Primates; Hominidae. The record is from RNAcentral.